GGUGUCUGAGCCCCUGCUGCUAAGUGAGACCAUACCAUUUAUUCUCCAUUCCAUUACUUCUUGCGAGGGGGAUCAUAUCACCCCUCCUGAUAGGAAAACUUCUCACUAUCAGAUGUUUGUGCUUCUUUUCAGAAAGGUUCUUACUUUUUAAAUAGGGUGCUUUCAUUGUGUUCUAGAGGGCCUCACUUCCUCUGUUACUGCAUUCCUAUUUGAUGCCAGUACUCCUACAUCUGUGAUUUUAGGGAGGGAAAUGCAGGAGCCUCUCCCCACAGCUCUCAAAGGUUUGUUUGGCCUGCCCUGCCACAGUCCCCUGUCUUACCUCUUCCCUGGGUUGCCCCCAUUCUUGUAUUCUGGCUCCAAAUCAGUCUGCCAGGAGGUUCAGCCUUUGUGUCUCCACACCUUCUCAGUUUACACUUCUACUUCUUUGGGGCCUCUGGCCUUUUAUAUGCAGAUGAGCCCCCCAUCCACCCCCUUCUCUACCCAUUGCUGAUGGGAAUCAGAGGGAGAAGCUUGAAGAGCUCUGGGGGUGUAUCAUAAUUUCCAAAGAGGGGAGGUGUCUUCUGUGAUCCUAUGAUUUCCCUUCCCCCACCCUGCCCCAGACCUUCCACCAUUUGGUCACAAGGAUGCCUGCCAAAGGCUGAGACACAAGAAAUCCCCUUGUCUGGGCUACAAUGGGACUGUGGGGGUGUGGCAGGGAAAGACAGAGGCUCUUUGGUCCUAAGACCCACAUCCUAGGAGGGGGAGAGAUUGAGAGGAAGGCUGUUUUCCUUCCUCCCUUAGCGCAAGCGCUAGACUCCUGGGACCUGAAGAGGGAGCAGGGGACUGGCUCUGGGCCUGGGUCCUAGGGCCCUAGUGAAUUACAGCAAAGAAGGAAUUCAGGGAAGUUGCCAACCUUGGGGCCCUACGAGGGAACAAGUGUGUGUGGGGGGGGUUGUGAAAAGAGGGCUGUGGCUGAUGUCAGAGAAUGACUUCUUGGAGAUUAACCCUAUGAGCCCUAGCUAACUGCCUAUAUGUUGGUCCUUGUCUUUCCUGGGGUCUGAAACUAAUCAUUGGAAAGCAAAAAAGAAAGAACAGGGUGUCAGGUGAUCCUUACCUAUUUGCUGUGCCUUCCCUCAGGAGAAGGAGUUUCCUCAAGUGCUAGAAUAACUCCUGCAAUUUCUCUACUUUUCAUUCUAUACUGGAGAAGGGAAGGAAGACAAGUUCAUCUCCACUUCCCCUAAGUUCCUCAAGUUUUGUUCUGCAACUUCCGCCCCAAUCCUUUUGGGGCAACAUUCAUUCCAUAGCUCUCCCCUAAAGACCCGCUCUUCUCCCAUCCCCUCAAAGUGAUCAAGGUCUCCAAGCAUAUUCUCAGCCUUUUCCUCCUUUGCUACUUUCCAGUAGCACCUCUCCGGAACACCUCUUCUGGCCUUGGGCUCCUGACUUCUCCUUAAGCUAGCAAUUCAAAUGCUCUUCUCCAGUCCCUGCUCUGUUGCCAUUUUGUAGUGUGCCUUGGGUAAACUACAUUUUCACUUGGAAGUUUGUAUUCCUUUUUGAAGCUUGUUUGGUUAGGCUACAAACUUCUGAGCGGAAGAGGUUGUGCGCCCUCUUGUGGCCAUAAUGUACCAUAGCCAGGGGUAGCUGCCUAGAAUCUCCAAGCUCAAGUACAGCCUUACAGAAGACUUGCCCCUUCAGUACACAGACAGGCUAGAGAGGCAGGCCUAGAGAGGGCAGAGAUUUGCCCAGUGUCACCCAUUGUAGAUCCAUGGCAAGACCCAGGUUAGAGAACCCAGAUUCCUUGCUUGUCUGUCCACAGUGCCAUCUUUUGGCCAGACUAUUUCCCCACCCCACCCACUCAAUACCACCCAAAGGUGAGAAAGCAAUUUUUCCAUGUUUUAAUAUGUGGGUUCUUAAUCCCACCUUAGAGAGGCAGCUCAGUGUGUGGAGAAAGCACUACAGGCUCUGAGGAAAGAGAACCUGGGACCUCGACUGGGUAAAAGCUGCAUGAGUCUGGACUGCAGAUAUAAGAAAAAUCAUCCUGGACAAACCGUUUUCUUGGGGAGGGCCAGUAGGCCCAGACAUUAUGGAGGGAGAGCUGAGCAUUUCAGACUUGGAGGAGUGGACAAAAGCUGAAAUCCUCAUCUAGUCUGAAAUGUUGAGAGAAUUAAAAAAUGUGACAGACACAAAAGUGAGCAAAUGCUGUUGGAAAGUGGCACUGAUUGCUUGACACAGGAUUGCAAGAAGCCUUCAAUUUGUAAAAACUUCAAUAUCUACCAAGUGUAAUAACGUGAAGCUCAAUAAAAUGAGGUAUGUCUAUGGA
RNA transcript from Suricata suricatta (meerkat), 2296 nucleotides. It is a transcript of the gene named leucine rich adaptor protein 1, with no coding region annotated. Lineage: Eukaryota; Metazoa; Chordata; Mammalia; Carnivora; Herpestidae. The transcript has 2 exons. The record is from RefSeq and is a predicted model, not a curated record.